Molecule: ribosomal RNA, 253 nt
Filed under: uncultured bacterium
Lineage: Bacteria
Description: partial 16S ribosomal RNA
Rfam family: Bacterial small subunit ribosomal RNA
Source: RNAcentral
UACGGAGGGUGCAAACGUUAUCCGGAAUCACUGGGCGUAAAGCGCAUGUAGGUGGUUGAGUAAGUGGAUGAUUAAAGACCGAUGCUUAACAUCGGGAAUGUUGUCUAUACUGCUCGACUUGAGGGAGACAGGGGUAAGCGGAACUUUAGGUGUAGGAGUGAAAUCCGUAGAUAUCUAAAGGAACACCAAUGGCGAAGGCAGCUUACUGGGUCUUUUCUGACACUGAGAUGCGAAAGUGUGGGGAGCAAACGGG